This 78-nucleotide transfer RNA is filed under the name Pyrobaculum neutrophilum V24Sta. Its description in RNAcentral is "tRNA-Arg (TCT) (tRNA-Arg-TCT-1-1)". It matches the Rfam family "tRNA". Rfam says of the family: Transfer RNA (tRNA) molecules are approximately 80 nucleotides in length. Their secondary structure includes four short double-helical elements and three loops (D, anti-codon, and T loops). Lineage: Archaea; Thermoproteati; Thermoproteota; Thermoprotei; Thermoproteales; Thermoproteaceae. RNAcentral also lists the same sequence under 3 other names. The record is from RNAcentral.
GGGCCCGUAGCUCAGCCUGGAUAGAGCGGCGGCCUUCUAAGCCGUAGGUCGUGGGUUCGAAUCCCAUCGGGCCCGCCA